Molecule: small nucleolar RNA, 128 nt
Filed under: Catagonus wagneri (Chacoan peccary)
Lineage: Eukaryota; Metazoa; Chordata; Mammalia; Artiodactyla; Tayassuidae
Source: RNAcentral
GUGCACGUUUCAUUGACCUGCUUUCUUUUGCACACGUGAGCAGUUAUUUCUUAUGUGCUGUACAAAUGAUGGAAGGUCAAUUAGCAGUAUAACCACAGAGCAAUGCUGCCAGUCCCCUUCAGACAAAA